GAUUAACGCUGGCGGCGUGCAUAACACAUGCAAGUCGAACGAUGAAACUUAAAAGAUUUCUUCGGAAUGACCUUAAGUGGAUUAGUGGCGAACGGGUGAGUAACGCGUGAGUAACCUGCCUUACAUAAGGGGAUAGCCUCUGGAAACGGAGAAUAAUACCCUAUGAAACUAUCUUAUCGCAUGAAUAGAUAGUCAAAGUGUUUUAGCGGUGUAAGAUGGACUUGCGUCUGAUUAGCUAGUUGGUGAGAUAACAGCCCACCAAGGCAACGAUCAGUAGCCGGCUUGAGAGAGUGUACGGCCACAUUGGGACUGAGACACGGCCCAGACUCCUACGGGAGGCAGCAGUGGGGAAUUUUGCACAAUGGGGGCAACCCUGAUGCAGCGACGCCGCGUGAUUUAGAAGGCCUUCGGGUUGUAAAAAUCUUUUGUAUAGGAAGAAGAUGACAGUACUAUACGAAUAAGGUCCGGCUAAUUACGUGCCAGCAGCCGCGGUAAUACGUAAGGACCGAGCGUUGUCCGGAAUCAUUGGGCGUAAAGGGUACGUAGGCGGUUAGAAAAGUUAGAAGUGAAAGGCUAUAGCUCAACUAUAGUAAGCUUUUAAAACUGUUUAACUUGAGAGAUGGAAGGGAAAGUGGAAUUCCUAGUGUAGCGGUGAAAUGCGCAGAUAUUAGGAGGAAUACCGGUGGCGAAGGCGACUUUCUGGCCAUUAUCUGACGCUGAGGUACGAAAGCGUGGGUAGCAAACAGG
This 747-nucleotide ribosomal RNA is filed under the name uncultured Anaerococcus sp. RNAcentral describes it as "bacterial SSU rRNA". It matches the Rfam family "Bacterial small subunit ribosomal RNA", at positions 28 to 776 of the family's 1533-position model. Lineage: Bacteria; Bacillati; Bacillota; Tissierellia; Tissierellales; Peptoniphilaceae. The record is from RNAcentral.